CUGCACCCCAGUGUGCUGACGCGCGAAGCCAGGAGGAAAAAUUAUUUCCCCUGGAGCCCGCGUUCAUUCAGCCUGCUCUCGCCUCUGCGCAAUUGCUUUCUCUGUUCACUGGACGGCGGCUGAAGAGCCCCAAGCGUGAACUCGGCCUGGGCAGUGGUGGCUCGGAAACCCUUGGCCUUUUGCAUGAAGGGGGUAGGGUGGGGGCAGGGCGCGGACAAAACCAAACAAACCCGGGAGCUCCGGGCCCAAGCCGACUUUUGCACCUCCCGGAGGAGCACGCCCUCCGGCCCCGGGCCCCGGCUCGUCGGUAGCCUCCCGGGACCACGGGGACGGCUCCACCCCAGGGCAGCCGCGUCCAGCUGGCCCUGGGCCUUGACGGGUGCUGCGGGGAAAAGGUUCUUGAGAGAUGCUGCGGCCCGGUAGAGAGAUUUAGCUCCACUUUUCACAGCUGGAGGCUUUUGUUAUUAGAGAUGCGGCUCCAUUUUUAAAACUAAUUGUUGCCACAGAUAGGCGACUACAUCUCUGGAAGCAGCAGCUCCAUGCUGGAUGUGGUGGAAGAAUCGAGAGGUCUACAGUAAAGGAGGCUGCCAUUGCUCAAGGACGCUGCUUGAUCCUACCAAAAUUCCCAUGGAUCUGUGAGGAGCUCCUCAAAUCAGCAGGACAUGCCCCUGUCCUGCCCAAAAUCUGUUUGGAGAUCAAAUGGGCCUUACUCAAUAAUAAAAUGGAAGCCUG
Molecule: long non-coding RNA, 732 nt
Filed under: Homo sapiens (human)
Lineage: Eukaryota; Metazoa; Chordata; Mammalia; Primates; Hominidae
Description: HSALNT0393259
Source: RNAcentral